This is a non-coding RNA of Cicer arietinum (chickpea), 2993 nucleotides long. The record is from RefSeq and is a predicted model, not a curated record. NCBI's taxonomy places the organism in Eukaryota, Viridiplantae, Streptophyta, Magnoliopsida, Fabales, Fabaceae.
AAAUCAUAAGAGCAAAGACACCACCACGCGCACUUGACCACAAACCACACUCACCAUUCUAUUCACAUUCAUCACUCUUCUCCUCUCUUCGUUUUCCUCAACUCAACCCCUUUUGUUUCUCUCUUUUUGUUUUUUUUUUUCUUUCUUUCUUUCACUUGUUUUUAUUAUUUAGGGUUUCGAAUUCUCCCAUUUCUUCUUCUUCCAUUCAAAACUCAAUUUCCAAUUCGAUUCCCCCCCCUCGAUUCCAACUAUUUAUUACGCGAUUGAUUGAUUCCCUAAUUUCGUCCACAGUAAUUUCAGUUUGAUUGGUGUUUUCAAGGGUUUGGAAUCGAUGGUGGAUUAUUCUUUUGAUCAAAGAGGGGUACAGUUUUGGGAGUGUUUCGAGGUUCAAUAGUUACGGGAAGUAAAGUUUUGAACCUUUUGCUAUGAUAUUUCGUGAUUGAUUUCAGAAUUUUUAUUUUUUUUUUAUUUUUGCGGGGAGUGAUUGUGAUUGUAGAAGAAGAAGAAGGUUAUGGAGAAUGGUUACGAUGGGAAUUUGGCUGAUAAAUUUUCAGGAUUGGGUAUCAACCAGAACGGUCAAGAACAACAUGUGCACGAACAACCUAACUUUUCUUCUAACAACAACAACAACAACAACGAUAACUUGUUUCAGGUUAUGAAGGCCGUUGAAGCUGCCGAAGCCACCAUUAAGCAACAGGUGGAAGAGAACAAUCAGCUUAGGUCUGAGCUUCUGAGUAAAAUUCAGGAACUGGAAAAAUAUAGGUUAUAUGAAUCACCGGAUCAAAAACUGCCCUCGGUUUCUCCAUGGAAAGAGCUGGGUCAUGGAUCUUAUGAAGCUCAUCAAUCAUUCCCAUCAGCAGGUAGCCAUUUUGAGAACAGUCCAGUAAAUGGAACGCUGAGAAUACAGCCAAACGAUCAGCUGCCUGUGGAUAAUGUUGGCCACUCUCAGUUGUCUUCACCAUUUACGAGGUCCAUCUCUCCAAGCAGGCAUCUACCAGAAGGAGACCUUGAUUCUAGAUAUAGUUCACCUCUGAAAGGCUUGAUGCCAAUGCCUGAAACAAAUAAUUCUAAUUCCUUACUGAAGCAGGAUCUGGCCAUUAAGGUCCAUGAACAUGAAGAAGAGGUCACCCUAUUAAAGAAACAUCUAGCAGAUUAUUCUGCAAAGGAAGCACAAAUACGCAAUGAAAAAUAUGUCUUGGAAAAGCGCAUUGCAUAUAUGCGUCUGGCCUUUGAUCAACAACAACAAGACCUUGUAGAUGCGGCAUCAAAGGCCUUGUCGUACCGACAAGACAUAAUUGAAGAAAAUAUACGUCUUACCUAUGCAUUGCAGGAUGCACAGCAAGAAAGGUCAACAUUUGUUUCAUCGUUGCUACCUCUUCUUGCAGAAUACUCCCUUCAGCCACCUGUUCCUGAUGCCCAAUCGAUUGUUAGCAAUGUCAAGGUUUUGUUUAAACAUUUGCAAGAAAAACUUUUUCGCACUGAGUCGAAGCUAAAGGAGUCACAGUAUCAACUGACACCUUGGCGUUCAGAUUUGAACCAUGCAAAUGUUGCUACACAAUCACCAUUGAACGUCAUUGGUGCACCUUUGGCAACUUCAAAAAAAAAUGGCCUUGAAUUGGUACCUCAGAAUACAUACUCUCAAGUUAAUACUCAGGCCUUUGUUGAUGCUCAGCGAGGCACUGAUUGGGAGGCAAUGAGUCGCCACCAGAGCGGCAUGGGUGGUGGGCUGGUAUCGAAUGUGGAUGCUGAUGAUUUGGGGAGAUAUUCACCUCUUGGAAGCAGGAAUUCUUCAGCCCAUGAUGUACCCAAUCACCAGGUCACUCAGGGUGAUACUCAGAAUGAAUACUAUGAAGAGAUGUCUAAUAAACAUGUCAAAUUUCGUGCGCCUGUCAGCAACAAUGAAGUGGAUGAUUCGGAGGGUGAUGGGGACAAUAGUGAGAGAGAGACACCUGCUAACUGGAGUUCAGGCAACCCUCCUUAUACAACAACUGUCGAAGAUCCCAGUUCCUCAUAUUCUCCUUAUCUACCACCAGUUCUUGAAGAACCUUCUUCUUCAUUUUCUGAAGGUGAUAAUUAUGCUGCAGAUGAAGAUCCAUUACCAGCUAUAGAGAACCUUCAAAUUUCCGGGGAAGCCUUUCCAGGAAGGGAACUUCAGGCAUGCGGAUACUCCAUCCAUGGCACCACUAGUUGUAAUUUUGAGUGGAUUCGGCACCUGGAAGACGGUUCCUUUAAUUAUAUUGAAGGGGCAAAGCAACCCAACUAUCUUGUCAGUGCCGAUGAUGUUGAUACAUUACUUGCCAUUGAAGUCCAGCCUCUGGAUAACAGGAAGCGCAAGGGAGAACCAGUCAAAGUUUUUGCCAAUGAUAGCAAGAAGAUCAUUUGUGAUCCUGAAAUGCAGAGCCACAUAGAGAAGAGUUUUUAUAGCGGACAUGCUUCAUAUAAAGUUUCUCUUUCGGUAAUUCAAUACUGGAUAUCUUGAUAUAUGGGAGCCAGCCACAUUGGCCAUUAAGAAGGAAGGUUACAGUAUCAAAUGCAGUGGACCAAAUGGAGUUGUAAUCGCAGAAAAAUUUUCUCCAUCCACCACUGUUGUGAUUCCAUAUGGUCACAUUUCAGAAUUUAUUAUAAUCGGUUCCACUGGGGCUGAACAUCUUUUAAGAGCAGAGAACAACUCGACAGAUGUCAGUGGCGCUAGAGACACUAUUGUGCUCACAUUGAGAUUAUUUAUCCUAAGGGCUGGGGACAGAAAGAGGGGAAGGAGGAAGGGAUUAUUAUUCUUUAACAAGUAAGCGAAAGUUGGCAAUUUUGCAGAAAAUCUCUGCUGCAAGUAAAAUGUGCUGACCGUAGAUGGGGACUGGGAGUUGUGUUUAGUGUGCUACCUAAAUUUUUGUUGGUUUCAUAUUGUAUCAUAGGGCAGAAUUAGCUUCAGCUGUAAUUGUGAUUCUAUGCCAUCAUUUUUUUUUAAUAUUUAAUGAUUCUUUUUGCCAUUUUCUGUC